This is a long non-coding RNA of Oreochromis aureus, 306 nucleotides long. RefSeq lists it as uncharacterized. The transcript is spliced from 3 exons. The record is from RefSeq and is a predicted model, not a curated record. Lineage: Eukaryota; Metazoa; Chordata; Actinopteri; Cichliformes; Cichlidae.
AUGAGGAAGAAGUCCAGCGCAGAUCAAACACAAACACAAGGGGAUGACGCAUAAAAACAAACUUCUUGUUGAUGUUUUGAACCUCACUUUGAGAAGCGAAACAGUCAGUACCAGGAAGAACUGGUGUGUCUUAGGUUCAUGCUAACUAAGGAAAAAGACAGUAGUGGAAGAAGUUUGUUUCUUGACUGAAAAGCUUCCAGAAGUCUCCUGAGAUUGCAUUUAAUUUUGGUCAUGCUGUGGUCUCCAACCGCUGAUUUCCUCAGUGAGACGGUUUAAAAGUGCACACACAGAGCUCUGCAACAUCAU